GAUGAACGCUAGCGGCAGGCCUAAUACAUGCAAGCUGAACGGCAAGUUGAAUAGCAAUAUUUGACCUAGAGUAGCGUAAGGGUGCGUAACACGUAUGCAAUCUGCCCGCAACAGGAGGAUAGCUUGAUGAAAGUUGAGAUAAGACUCCAUAAGAUCACAGGAGGGCAUCUGAUAGUGAUUAAACUACAAGGGGUUGCGGAUGAGCAUGCGCAUGAUUAGUUAGUUGGCGGGUAACGCCCACAAGACAAUGAUCAUUAGGGGAACUGAGAGGUUCGGU
This 277-nucleotide ribosomal RNA is filed under the name uncultured bacterium. Its description in RNAcentral is "partial 16S ribosomal RNA". It matches the Rfam family "Bacterial small subunit ribosomal RNA", at positions 28 to 305 of the family's 1533-position model. The record is from RNAcentral.